RNAcentral lists this microRNA precursor (98 nucleotides) under Callithrix jacchus (white-tufted-ear marmoset). RNAcentral describes it as "microRNA cja-mir-548j precursor". Its record names the gene cja-mir-548j. Lineage: Eukaryota; Metazoa; Chordata; Mammalia; Primates; Cebidae. The record is from miRBase by way of RNAcentral.
AUUAGUUAUUAGGUUGGUGCAAAAGUAAUUGUGUGUUUGCAAUUAGUAAUAUUAAUGGCAAAAAUCUCAAUUACUUUUGCAGCAACCUAAUAACUAGU